UCUGCCCCUAGAGAUGUUGCAGAUGUUGCUGCUGUGUCACAUGUGACUCAGUAAGUGACAGAGAGGAGAGACUAUGUGUAUGCUCUGUGUUCAGACUACAAACAUCUGAAUAAUUAGUAUCCUACCAUU
Mus caroli (Ryukyu mouse) is the source of this 129-nucleotide small nucleolar RNA. RefSeq annotates it as small nucleolar RNA SNORA17. The record is from RefSeq and is a predicted model, not a curated record. Lineage: Eukaryota; Metazoa; Chordata; Mammalia; Rodentia; Muridae.